GAUGAACGCUGGCGGCGUGCUUAACACAUGCAAGUCGAACGAUUAAAGCUCUCUUCGGAGAGUGUAUAAAGUGGCGAACGGGUGAGUAACACGUGGGCAAUCUGCCCCUCACACUAGGAUAACCCGAGGAAACUCGAGCUAAUACCGGAUACUCCGGGAUGACCGCAUGGUCGACCCGGGAAAGCUCCGACGGUGAGGGAUGAGCCCGCGGCCCAUUAGCUUGUUGGUAGGGUAAUGGCCUACCAAGGCGACGAUGGUAGCCGACCUGAGAGGGGGAGCGGCCACACGGGGACGGGGACCCGGCCCAGCCUCCUAGGGGAGGCAGAAGUGGGGAAUCUUGCAAAAUGGGCGAAAGCCGGAUGCAGCAACGCCGCGGGGGGGAUGAAGGCCUUCGGGUUGAAAACCGCUUUCAGCAGGGAUGAGAUUGACAGUACCUGCAGAAGAAGCCCCGGCUAACUACGUGCCAGCAGCCGCCGUAA
RNAcentral lists this ribosomal RNA (479 nucleotides) under uncultured bacterium. RNAcentral describes it as "partial 16S ribosomal RNA". It matches the Rfam family "Bacterial small subunit ribosomal RNA", at positions 28 to 523 of the family's 1533-position model. The record is from RNAcentral.